AUACAGAGGGUGCGAGCGUUAAUCGGAAUUACUGGGCGUAAAGCGCGCGUAGGCGGCUUAUUAAGUCAGAUGUGAAAUCCCCGGGCUCAACCUGGGAACUGCAUCUGAUACUGGUAAGCUAGAGUUUUGGAGAGGGAAGUAGAAUUUCAGGUGUAGCGGUGAAAUGCAUAGAGAUCUGAAGGAAUACCAGUGGCGAAGGCGACUUCCUGGCCAAAAACUGACGCUGAGGUGCGAAAGCGAGGGUAGCAAACGGGAUUAGAAACCCUAGUAGUCC
RNAcentral lists this ribosomal RNA (274 nucleotides) under uncultured bacterium. Its description in RNAcentral is "partial 16S ribosomal RNA". It matches the Rfam family "Bacterial small subunit ribosomal RNA", at positions 523 to 796 of the family's 1533-position model. The record is from RNAcentral.